Molecule: ribosomal RNA, 497 nt
Filed under: uncultured bacterium
Lineage: Bacteria
Description: partial 16S ribosomal RNA
Rfam family: Bacterial small subunit ribosomal RNA
Source: RNAcentral
GAUGAACGCUGGCGGCGUGCCUAAUACAUGCAAGUCGAGCGAACAGACGAGGAGCUUGCUCCUCUGACGUUAGCGGCGGACGGGUGAGUAACACGUGGAUAACCUACCUAUAAGACUGGGAUAACUUCGGGAAACCGGAGCUAAUACCGGAUAAUAUAUUGAACCGCAUGGUUCAAUAGUGAAAGACGGUUUUGCUGUCACUUAUAGAUGGAUCCGCGCCGCAUUAGCUAGUUGGUAAGGUAACGGCUUACCAAGGCAACGAUGUGUAGCCGACCUGAGAGGGUGAUCGGCCACACUGGAACUGAGACACGGUCCAGACUCCUACGGGAGGCAGCAGUAGGGAAUCUUCCGCAAUGGGCGAAAGCCUGACGGAGCAACGCCGCGUGAGUGAUGAAGGUCUUCGGAUCGUAAAACUCUGUUAUUAGGGAAGAACAAAUGUGAAAGUAACUAUGCACGUCUUGACGGUACCUAAUCAGAAAGCCACGGCUAACUACGUG